UCUGUUGUCCUUUCCAAGGAAAUAAAUAGGAGGCAUUAUGUUUGGAGCAAUCAAUAUACAUAGAGUGAGUGGUGGGACAGCAGCUCCAGCCUGGGCUGGGCUGGGCAGCUUGGGUGUUUUGCAGCCCUCUACAGCCUUGAAUCUUUGUCUGGAAUGUCACAAAACCACAGGCAGCUUUGUCUGUUGCAGAGAUCAGAGAAACCAUUUCUCUGGGUGUUGGUGGCACUGAGCAGGGCAGAGCCCUGGGGUGGCAGUGCUGCUGCCCAGGGGACACACAGGCUUCCUUGCCCGCAGUUCGGCGUGUGGUUCAGAACUGUGUUGUGGAAGGGUUUAUUCAUUUACUGAGCGGAUGUGCUGAUAAGAGCCCUGUGAUAACUGGCAAUAAAGCUAUAAUGACAAUAUGUUUCAAUAUAUCAGCAAAUACUCCUUUCUAUGAAACCUUUUUCCCUUUUCUCUUCUGUAGAUUAAAAGGAACUGCCUGGAAGGAUGCUUUUCAUUUCAGUUUACGCAAGCACACAGCAUAUGGCAGGUAUCUGUCACACUCAAGGAUGGGUUUGCCAGGACCCAACUUUCCUUGGAGGCACCGCUGGAGCCCUGAGUGUUGAUCAAGACCACUAUGGAGAAAGGAUGGUUAUUUCAACCAACACCAUCAGUGUGCUGACAGAAUGUGAAUGCAACAGUUAUCUUUAAUAUAGGGCAAGGUCUGGUUUGUUAUAACCGAUAUUACAACCGAUAUGCAGCUAGUAUUGUCCUACAAGUUUGACUUGUAUGAAGGGGACAUUCAACAAGAAAGAAAACAACAUUGAGGACUAUUAGCUGCUGCCCAUGCCAUGCAGGUAAUUGCCCAAUUCCCUUUCUGAGAUGGAGAGCUGUGCAGAAGAAACUGGCAGAGAGACACCAGCUGGGAGUGUUUGACUCCUGGGCACAGAAAUACUGCAAACCAUGUUUGGGUACUGCACUAAUAAGUGAAAUUAAAGUCAUGUUCCUCACAUAGCUCCUUCCUGGCUAGCUAUGAAUCAUUAGUUUAAAAACAAUUUCCUCAUUAUCUUUCCACUGCAGGAAAAGACGAUGAGUUUUGUGAAGCUGUGAUUGUAUCCCAGUUGAUUCCCAUGCCCUCUGUUCCUCUCACACAGGGCCAGGUGGUGUUUCAGAAAGGGGGAAAUGCCCAAAUUGAUAUCUUUCAUGUGAUUUUGGCAAACACAGAAAGUGACAUCACUUUACUUCCCCACUGCACAUGGCCUCAGCACCCAAACUGUGGUCCCCAUAGCUGUGACCCCAUAGCUAGGACUGCUCCACUGGCUCUGCCACUUUGUCCAGAAAGGAAAAUCCACGUUGUGCAUGGGAAGGAAACAUGGGAGAACCCCCAGCUCCACUUAGUGGGCAAAGCACAAACAACAUAUUUCAGCUGCAGCAACAGCUGAAGGCUGAAGGGUAUAUUUAUAGUGCUCAGCUGAGCCUCGUGUCAGAAAGGUUUGCUUUCACUUCAAAAGCCUGUCCUCAAGCCUUGGGUCCCCAGUGAUGGCUAUGCAGGGCUUUCCAGAAUGAAAAAAGAGAAUUCAGAAUUUUUCAGCAGCCAUCUUUUCUGCUUGAAAGUAUCUCAAUAGCUCUGUUGAUGAGUUAAGGAUGGUUCACUAAGUAAUUUCCAUUGGUUGCACAGCAUGCAUCUCACCCCAACCACCUGCCUCAUUAUCUGGUGCUCCCUGUCAUCAGGAAGGCCCUGUAGGGGAUAUGGUUUACUUAAAGCCCAGCCUGGCUGUAGCUCUCCCCUAGAAGUCUCUCAUCAGCAGCACUGUGUGACUAUCAGCUCCUGCCCUCUCUAGUCCUGGGGACCAGAUCCAUUUAAGCCCAUAUUAAAAUUUCCCUUUGGCAAAGUGAGCUCCAUUUGCGUGGAGAAGAUCUUGAAUGCCUUUUCGGUACAGACAACUGGUGCUCUGCAUUUCCAUUUUGAGCUCAGAUCGAGGAGGAAGAUGCAUUUGUAACUUUGCAGAGGAAGCUGCCUGGAGACAGAAGCAAAACCCAUCAGGUUCUCCUGUUCUCUUCCUUGGAAUUACCACUUCAAAUUUGGAGCUAUAAACAGAUCAUUGCAAAAAAUGAUACAGCUACAACCCAGGAAAGCGUGUGGUUGGCAUCCAUCUCCAACACUCUAGGUCUGUGCAAAAUCUGCUUUCCUUUGAGGCACCACGAUAGCAGCAUCAUUUUCCCCAGCACCCUGCAGCACCCUCUGAGCGUGUCUGAAAUCAGAUCUGUUUUCUUCUGAAAAUCUGAUGGAGUGCUUGAGAAACACGGCCAUGAAUUGUUUGGGGAAAUGGUGCCAGGCAGCCUGAUUUGUUUUUGACAUGAUUCCAAAACACCGGUUGACUGGAAACUAAGUGCAACCCCAGCAGAAGGAUUAGUCCAACUAUUUUCUUAGGAAAACAUAAUUACUAUGAAUCUUUCCAAGCUUGCACAGAGUCAGCAAUAAGCCCUUUUCCUGAGCUGCCGGCUGUGGCUGCAGAUCUGGCAGUGAUGCUGUGAAAUCGAUCGUUCCCCUUUGGCAGGGCCAGUGAGCGGCAUCUGCAGAGACAAUGUUGUUGCUGAGCCUUUCCUUUUGCUGCCUGCACUGGGAUAUGCAGCAUCUGCCAUGGCUGCUGGUUGCAGAGGUAUAUGAAGGAGGUGGUUUUCAUGUAAAAUAUGCCACUUCUGUGCUACUUUGCUCUCAGCAUGGAUGUGCAUGAUACGCCUUGGGAGGAUGGCAAAACACGUUGUGCUCAGCCCUGGUGCCCUGUGAUGGGAGGGAUGGCUGUGCAGCAAGGACUGCUGUUCUUCUUUCAAAGGAUAUUUUUCACAGGAAAACAUCAGUUAAAUAAAAAAUUGCUGAUUUGAUUGUUUCCUGCUGCUAGCUUUUCCUUUAGGACCUCCCUUUCCUUGUGAUAAGCUUUCCACGCAGGGAUUUACUAACUAUUUUCAAAAGACUGACAUGAAAGUACCAUGCAGACGCUCAUUAUGACAUGAAUUUUAAUCUUGUUCCAGUACUUUCAUUUUGA
This is a non-coding RNA of Meleagris gallopavo (turkey), 3023 nucleotides long. NCBI's taxonomy places the organism in Eukaryota, Metazoa, Chordata, Aves, Galliformes, Phasianidae. The record is from RefSeq and is a predicted model, not a curated record.